GGGCGAAAGCCUGAUGCAGCAACGCCGCGUGAGGGAUGACGGCCUUCGGGUUGUAAACCUCUUUUAGUAGGGAAGAAGCGAAAGUGACGGUACCUGCAGAAAAAGCACCGGCUAACUACGUGCCAGCAGCCGCGGUAAUACGUAGGGUGCAAGCGUUGUCCGGAAUUAUUGGGCGUAAAGAGCUCGUAGGCGGUUUGUCGCGUCUGCUGUGAAAUCCCGAGGCUCAACCUCGGGCUUGCAGUGGGUACGGGCAGACUAGAGUGCGGUAGGGGAGAUUGGAAUUCCUGGUGUAGCGGUGGAAUGCGCAGAUAUCAGGAGGAACACCGAUGGCGAAGGCAGAUCUCUGGGCCGUAACUGACGCUGAGGAGCGAAAGCAUGGGGAGCGAACAGGAUUAGAUACCCUGGUAGUCCAUGCCGUAAACGUUGGGCGCUAGAUGUAGGGACCUUUCCACGGUUUCUGUGUCGUAGCUAACGCAUUAAGCGCCCCGCCUGGGGAGUACGGCCGCA
Molecule: ribosomal RNA, 507 nt
Filed under: Curtobacterium flaccumfaciens
Lineage: Bacteria; Bacillati; Actinomycetota; Actinomycetes; Micrococcales; Microbacteriaceae
Description: bacterial SSU rRNA
Rfam family: Bacterial small subunit ribosomal RNA
Source: RNAcentral